AAACCAUCCCAUUGCAUUGUCAUCGAGUUACGGAUCUCUCUCAUGUCUUCUUGUACGCCCAUGUGAAUGUGGGUGUUUUCACGAGGGUGUUCACCUUAACCUCAUCCCGUCUGGUGUCAUUUAACUCUUCAGCGGAUGGAUGGAGCAACUGACGUAGAUGUCUGGCUGUAUUUCCCAGACAUAAAGCCGACCAGGAAAGAAAAACAAGAAAAUGUUGCGACGUGAUAAUAAACACACGGAGCGAGAGAGGGAAAAUGGCGCCCGCAGUGCUGCGAUAUUUUCAAAGGGGGCGAGAGGAGACUACGAGGUUCAUCGCGCG
Daphnia pulex (common water flea) is the source of this 319-nucleotide long non-coding RNA. RefSeq lists it as uncharacterized. NCBI's taxonomy places the organism in Eukaryota, Metazoa, Arthropoda, Branchiopoda, Diplostraca, Daphniidae. The transcript is spliced from 2 exons. The record is from RefSeq and is a predicted model, not a curated record.